GACGAACGCUGGCGGCGUGCUUAACACAUGCAAGUCGAGCGGUAAGGCCCUUUCGGGGGUACACGAGCGGCGAACGGGUGAGUAACACGUGGGUGACCUGCCCUCAGCUCUGGGAUAAGCCUGGGAAACCGGGUCUAAUACCGGAUAUGACUCCAUGACGCAUGUUGUGGGGUGGAAAGCCUUGUGCGGCUGAGGAUGGGCCCGCGGCCUAUCAGCUUGUUGGUGGGGUGAUGGCCUACCAAGGCGACGACGGGUAGCCGGCCUGAGAGGGCGACCGGCCACACUGGGACUGAGACACGGCCCAGACUCCUACGGGAGGCAGCAGGUGGGGAAUCUUGCG
Molecule: ribosomal RNA, 340 nt
Filed under: uncultured bacterium
Lineage: Bacteria
Description: bacterial SSU rRNA
Rfam family: Bacterial small subunit ribosomal RNA
Source: RNAcentral